AUGGUAACAGGACUGGAUUGCUCAGUUGGCUUAAAGGAUACAUAUUUUAAAGUUGGCCGCUUGCUCUUAUCCGAGUUUGAUUGUUUUGAUUUUGCAUUUCUUCAUACUGUUCGUGUGAUGCUUUGGAUUGCCAACACAUUUCAUGUUACUUCAUAUCCAACCCUCUUACCUGUUACGAAGCCAUCUUGUAAGAACAAGGCCUUGACCAGUCUUGAUGAGUUACUGAAUCAUUAUUAUCCAAGAACUGUCAGGAACAUCAAAGAUGAAAGGAGCCCCCCUCUCCCCUGCAGGGAUGCCAGCACACCACUUCCCCUAGCACAGUUGAAGCCUAUCGGCCCUCAGCAGCAGUGGCUCCACCAAGUCUUCAGCCUGUGGUUUUGAUGGAGACAAUGAGGGCCUGUGCUCAGGAAAGGAAGUUCACUUGUAAAUCAUCACCAGCAGUGGGGUCUGCUGUAAAGAAGCUGCCUAAUGGGAACUCUGUGUUACUGGGAAUUACAUAAUUGAGCAAUCAUGAGAUAGUAUUGAAGAUCUGUGAGUCAUAGCUUAGGAAGACUGUACCUGAAAGCAGAGGAAUGACUUUGUGGUUAUUGCUUUCAUGUCUGUUAGCUUUGCUUGUAAGGAAAUAUAUUUAAAGCCCUAUGCACCAAAAGAUUACUAUUAUUUUAUUCAGCAUUUGUAAUAUUGGCAUAUGACUAUAAAAUAUAUUUUAGAAGCUCCUUUCUGUAAAGAGAUUUCUAUCCUUAAAGAUGUUACUGUCUUUUUUGAAAUGAUUUUAUGGAAGGAAAAAGGAGUGACCCUGGAAAACUGAUCAAAUAUUUAUAUGUUUUGUGUAAGCUGAAUAUUCUAAGUGAAUGCUUCAAACUCUAUCUGUAAAGUGCUUGAUCAUAAACAGGUCAGGUUUUCCUGGCCAUACUCUGUCUGUACUACUUCUAAGUUUCAUGUAGCAUACAAGCCUCCUUAGACAGUAUGCAAAUAAGUGGUCAUGGCAGAGUGCCAAUAAUACUUCCUUUGUGGAAACAGGUGGUGGACUGCAUUUGGCUUACAAGCCCAUGGCUUGUCAAUUGCUAAACCAUGAAUUAAAGGGGGUGGGAGAAAACCCCUUUAUUUGCUGCCAGAGUUUCUUUAAAUAAAAAUGAACUACUAGUCUGUCAAUAGAUUUCAAUAAAUUACUUUUGGCUGUAAUCAAUGGGAAAGUGCCAGCCAAAUAGUGAGGAUAUAUCAACAAAUAAAACUCAAUCUAUAUAAUUUAUAAAUGCUUAUAUUGCUAGUCUUACACAAAUGUCAAAGGUAUUAGCCAUGCUUUAUUAUUUUUAUUUUUAAUUUAAUAUUUAAUUAAUAGUUAAUUUAGUAUUUAUUUUUAGUUGUUGAUUAUGGAUAAUGUUCAUUACAUAAUAUAUUACAUAACUGUCAUAUAUAUAUACAUAUAUAUAUCUUACUGUCAGUCAUAUAUAAAUUGAAAAUAAUUUUAUUAAUUUGUGAUUAACUUUUGAUCUUAAAUUUAAAAUUUUUUUAGAUAUUUCUUUUCUGAAUUUGCCUUUUUCCUGAUGGUUUUCCUUUGUGGAUUUAAUGCCACAGAGAAGAAGUCACCUCUAGUUUUCAUAAGCUGGUGUUUUCUUCUAGCAUGUUUAUGGUUAUAUGUUGACUUGCUUUUCAAAUGAAGAGGAACAACAAUAAUGAUGAUGAAAGGGAAACCUGAAUAAUAGGAUAUCCAUGGAACAACAGCUUCUGAGGAAAAAGAGAGAGGAAUCUUAGAACAAGGAUGGCAGGAAGAAGCUUCCUCCCUAUGGAAGGAAAGAGAGAGAAAAGCCAACCGACCUGAAGACAAUCCUGAAAGUUGCAGCACUAAGAAUGACCUCAGCAUCAGUGAAACAUGGCAGUGCACCUGCUGGGAAGGGGAGCAGCCAAGAAUGGGUGGGGAGUCCCAGAAGAAACUAACUGUUUGUCACACCGUCUGUGCCAUACACGGCAUGAAGAUGCUCGAUUACUAAAUUUGGGUACAGGUAUUUAUGAAAACACUGCGUCAUCCUCUCAAGAAUUUAGAUGCUGAUAAUUCCUUUCAAGUAUGUCAGGUCAAAAUCAAUUGAAAUUUCUGAAGUCUUUUUUUUUUUGCAAUACAUAUAAAUAACAUAAUUAUAAAAUGAACUAUACACCCCCCCACCUUGUAUCUGUAUCCUUAGUGUAAGUAUGUUUGUGACCCUGUAAUCAAAAUUUCAUCACAAAUAGGAAAUAAAAUGAGUUCAAGAAAAUUGUCGCCAGUGUGGUCUUUCUGAUUUCUGUUUCUAUCAAAUUCAUGCUAACUUACAAUAAAGCCCAGCUAAACUUUCAGAGAAUUAAUCAUUUCAAGUAUCUUCUUUUGGUUGUUGUCCAAAAAAGUAGUAUAUCCUUAUCAUAAAAAUUCAGGGUGGUUAGAAAUGCAGGAAAAAUAAAAAUAAAUCACUUAAAAUAUACCUUAGUAUUUCAAUUGAUAUCUUUAUUUUAUAGAAUUAUUUUCUGUACAAGGUUAGGCUUUUCAUGACUGCCUUAAUUUACAGCUCAAUUUAGACUCUUAAGUAUUCUACAAAUGGGGAUUAACUUAAGAACCUUAAAUACCUGCUUAGAAAAUAAUUUCCUUUUUAUUUAAUUAUCUCUUUAUGGGAAUUUCAUAUUUCU
This 2649-nucleotide long non-coding RNA is filed under the name Cricetulus griseus (Chinese hamster). RNAcentral describes it as "lncRNA (ENSCGRG00000024657.1)". Lineage: Eukaryota; Metazoa; Chordata; Mammalia; Rodentia; Cricetidae. The record is from RNAcentral.